GCCGAGUAUGGUGGUGCAUGCCUGCAGUCUCAGCUACUCAGGAGGCUGAGACAGGAGGAUCACUUGAACCUAGGAGGUCAAGGCUGCAGUGAGCCAUGAUGGUGCCACUGCACUCCAGCCUGGGUGAUAGGGUGAGACCCUGUCUCAA
RNAcentral lists this non-coding RNA (148 nucleotides) under Nomascus leucogenys (northern white-cheeked gibbon). The record is from Rfam by way of RNAcentral. Lineage: Eukaryota; Metazoa; Chordata; Mammalia; Primates; Hylobatidae.